RNAcentral lists this unclassified non-coding RNA (683 nucleotides) under Hevea brasiliensis (rubber tree). Lineage: Eukaryota; Viridiplantae; Streptophyta; Magnoliopsida; Malpighiales; Euphorbiaceae. The record is from RNAcentral.
GACAUUAGCCUUGACAACAUUCAGUCCAAGAUUUUUUAGUGCAGUCAUUGUGUCAAGAAGAGCCCCAAGGCGAUCACCAAAGGUAACCUCCACUACAGUUGUUUCUGGAUCCGAAUCCAAAUCUAUUAUGACUUUGGGCGUUGGGACAGCAGUAUCUUGGGAACUUCCACCCUCAACAGCUGCAGUUGAAGAUGCUUUUGGAAUAAUUGUACUCUCAGAAAAAGCUAAUCUCUUGGGAACAAGGCAUAUUCUCUGUACAGGAUCCAAACCAAAAGAACCUCUGAAGAGAACUGAACUUGAAAUGGGUAUUUUCUCAAUUGCAUUUAAAUUAGUAUAAACCCCAGAAAUGCUCCCACAAGAAGCCAUAGCCACAGCCAUAUCAGUUCAAGAAUAUUGAAAAAUUGAACAAAAGCUGUAUAAAAGGAAAAAAAGUUUGCGUCUUUUUCACUUAGUGAAAUAGUAUACUAGUAAAGGAAGUAACCAAAGAGAAUCACGGAAAUGGAAAGAUAAGAAAAGACGCAAAUUUUAAGAGAAGAAGAAGCAAUAGUGUUGAUUGUUCUUCUAGUAGUAUCCGCCAUUAUAAUGGAAGGUGUCCUCUUUAUAAUAUACGUAAAAAGGUAUAAAAUUAUGGGCCUUGUUUGUCUUUGUUGAUGAAAGCUGAGCCUUAGAAAUUUACUUCAAUU